CUAAAUAUUUAAUAUUACUGUAACAUCCUUUCCCACAGGGCCCUCACACUUUUCUCAUUCUCUGGAGAAUUUCUUCGCAUUUCAUCCAUUUCUAAGGUCAGCUCAAUACUCUUCUGUUAGCUUACUCCCCCCUGACCACAAGAGACAGAGAUCUGAAAAGGAUCUUAGAGAUGAUCUGAUCCAAAACUUUGAUUCUGCAGAAAUGGAAACUGCGCCUCACAGAGGCAAAAUGUCAGUCGAUCAACAGAAUGAGCUACUCUUCUGUCAUCUUCUCCAACAAUCUCAGAAAUGUAAACCUAACUCUACUCCUUGGCUCUUUACAUGAAGGUCUCCAUUAUGGUGAAGAAGAGAUGAUGUCACCACAAGGAGGUAGGUUGGGCAGAAGAGGGGCACGCAAAAAAAAAAUUGUUUGCCUUUCUAUAAUCUCCCACCUUCCAUAGAGUGUGGAGGAGCCAAAUUUCAUCAAGUUUGGCACAGUUGUAGGAAUUAACAUGACUGAAAUAUAUGCCAGAUUUCAAAACAAUUUCUAACAGUUUCUGUGAGACUGUGUAAGCAACUGAAAAUUGACAUGUUGUGUUGUGCCCGAGUCAGCCAACUGCUGUCACUGCAUAAUUAGAUUUUCCUGCAUGAGAGGAAAGACUUUUCUUUUUAAAAUUAUGAAAUAAUGCAGAAGCUAACAUAAAGCUUAAAUGGGGAGAAAACUAUCGGUGAUAGAUAGAUAGAUAGAUAGAUAGAUAGAUAGAUAGAUAGAUAGAUAGAUAGAUGAUAGAUAGAUAAUCUUAACUUAGGACACACCAAUAUCUACCCAAUGAAGUAAUGAGAACAGUCUACAGAUCUGGUUUUGUACUCCUCACAUGUAUGGUGAAAGCAUGGGAGCUCUUUAUCCCAAUCCAGUUGGUGCUGGACUGUUAGGUUACAGGUUGAAAAAAAGAAAAAGAGAUGAAGGACCAAGUGCGUAUCUAAAACUAAUUAAUGAGCUAUUUCUUUCUUUUGUCAUAGAAUUAUAGAAUCACAAAUGGACAUAGAUCUGGAAAGAUUGCCUGGCUUCUCUCCCUGUAGGUAAGUGUCUGUCCAUCUAUCUAGGAAAGAGGACUAUCUCUUUUCUUUCUCAAACUACGCAGGUAUGAACUUGACAACACGUAUGCAGAGUUAAUCUUGAUUUCCUCUCCCCUGAUUUAGCCAUCUAUAGAAUAUUAUAUUCAGCUCAAUACUCCACAUUUUAAGAUAUAAUGACAAUUGAGAGCAUCUGAAGAGAAGGGCAAUUAGGAUAGUUAGGAGACUUAAAACCAUUUUAUUUAGGACCACAUGGAGAAACUGGACAUCUU
Monodelphis domestica (gray short-tailed opossum) is the source of this 1325-nucleotide long non-coding RNA. NCBI's taxonomy places the organism in Eukaryota, Metazoa, Chordata, Mammalia, Didelphimorphia, Didelphidae. The record is from Ensembl.